GUCCAGGCCUCUUCCGGUAAGCCAUGGAGAGAUGAGGCUUAGUGUCCACACAUCUCUGGAGUCCUCAGUCCUAUUGGAGAAGGGGUGGAGGGGAGGAGAG
This is a long non-coding RNA of Alosa sapidissima (American shad), 100 nucleotides long. RefSeq lists it as uncharacterized. The record is from RefSeq and is a predicted model, not a curated record. The transcript is spliced from 4 exons. Lineage: Eukaryota; Metazoa; Chordata; Actinopteri; Clupeiformes; Clupeidae.